Molecule: ribosomal RNA, 599 nt
Filed under: uncultured bacterium
Lineage: Bacteria
Description: bacterial SSU rRNA
Rfam family: Bacterial small subunit ribosomal RNA
Source: RNAcentral
AACGUGCCCUUUCGGUUCGGGACAACUCCGGGAAACUGGAGCUAAUACCGGAUAAGCCCUUCGGGGGAAAGAUUUAUUGCCAAAGGAUCGGCCCGCGUCUGAUUAGCUAGUUGGUGAGGUAAUGGCUCACCAAGGCGACGAUCAGUAGCUGGUCUGAGAGGAUGAUCAGCCACACUGGGACUGAGACACGGCCCAGACUCCUACGGGAGGCAGCAGUGGGGAAUAUUGGACAAUGGGCGCAAGCCUGAUCCAGCCAUGCCGCGUGAGUGAUGAAGGCCCUAGGGUUGUAAAGCUCUUUUGUCCGGGAAGAUAAUGACUGUACCGGAAGAAUAAGCCCCGGCUAACUUCGUGCCAGCAGCCGCGGUAAUACGAAGGGGGCUAGCGUUGCUCGGAAUCACUGGGCGUAAAGGGCGCGUAGGCGGAUCUUUAAGUCGGGGGUGAAAGCCCAGGGCUCAACCCUGGAAUUGCCUUCGAUACUGAAGAUCUCGAGACCGGAAGAGGUAAGUGGAACUGCGAGUGUAGAGGUGAAAUUCGUAGAUAUUCGCAAGAACACCAGUGGCGAAGGCGGCUUACUGGUCCGGUUCUGACGCUGAGGCGCG